This 105-nucleotide ribosomal RNA is filed under the name Gammaproteobacteria bacterium. RNAcentral describes it as "partial 16S ribosomal RNA". It matches the Rfam family "Bacterial small subunit ribosomal RNA", at positions 1 to 102 of the family's 1533-position model. Lineage: Bacteria; Pseudomonadati; Pseudomonadota; Gammaproteobacteria. The record is from RNAcentral.
AUUUAAUUGAAGAGUUUGAUCAUGGCUCAGAUUGAACGCUGGCGGCAGCCCUUACACAUGCAAGUCGAGCGAGAAAGUUUCUUCGGAAGCGAGUAAAGCGGCGGA